This 218-nucleotide unclassified non-coding RNA is filed under the name uncultured Inocybaceae. RNAcentral describes it as "sequence contains ITS2". Lineage: Eukaryota; Fungi; Basidiomycota; Agaricomycetes; Agaricales. The record is from RNAcentral.
AAAUCUCAACUAUACUGGUGUUUCUGGUGUAGCUUGGAUAUGGGAGAUGAGAAAAUACUAUUCUCUUGCAGGCUUUUUUAUAGUUGAAGUCGGCUCUCCUGAAAAUUAUUAGUGGUGCCUUAGUAGGAACUGUCUACAGGUGUGAUAAUCUUCUACGCCUUAGAUGUCUGGAUGCAUAGGACCCAAUGCUGCUUAUAAAUUAAAUUUAUGAAUGACAA